AACGAACGCUGGCGGCAUGCCUAACACAUGCAAGUCGAACGAGACCUUCGGGGCUUGCGGCGCACGGGUGCGUAACGCGUGGGAACCUGCCCUUAGGUUCGGAAUAACUCCCCGAAAGGGGUGCUAAUACCGGAUAAUGUCUUCGGACAAAUGAUUUCUCGCCUUUGGAUGGGCCCGCGUUUGAUUAGCUAGUUGGUAGGGUAACAGCCUACCAAGGCGACGAUCCAUUGCUGGUCUGGGAGGAUGACCAGCCAAACUGGGACUGAGACACGGCCCAGACUCCUACGGGAGGCAGCAGUAGGGAACAUUGGACACUGGGCGGAAGCCUGAUCCAGCCGUGCCGCGUGAGUGAUGAAGGCCUUAGGGUUGUAAAGCUCUUUUACCCGGGAUGAUAAUGACAGUACCGGGAGAAUAAGCACCGGCUAACUACGUG
Molecule: ribosomal RNA, 433 nt
Filed under: uncultured bacterium
Lineage: Bacteria
Description: partial 16S ribosomal RNA
Rfam family: Bacterial small subunit ribosomal RNA
Source: RNAcentral